This is a non-coding RNA of Ornithorhynchus anatinus (platypus), 72 nucleotides long. NCBI's taxonomy places the organism in Eukaryota, Metazoa, Chordata, Mammalia, Monotremata, Ornithorhynchidae. The record is from Rfam.
GGGAGCGUGGCUUAGUGGCAAGAGCACGGGUUUGGGAGUCAGAGGUUGUGGGUUCUAAUCCCAGCUCUGCCA